AUCUAAAUAGUUUAAUGGUAAAAUGUUGGCUUGUGGUGCCUGUGAUAUAUUUGUAUAUUUUAGAUU
This 66-nucleotide transfer RNA is filed under the name Leucopitermes leucops. RNAcentral describes it as "tRNA-His". It matches the Rfam family "tRNA". Rfam says of the family: Transfer RNA (tRNA) molecules are approximately 80 nucleotides in length. Lineage: Eukaryota; Metazoa; Arthropoda; Insecta; Blattodea; Termitidae. The record is from RNAcentral.